UACGUAGGGGGCAAGCGUUGUCCGGAAUCACUGGGCGUAAAGGGUGCGUAGGCGGUACUGCAAGUCUGACGUGAAAGUUCAGGGCUUAACCCUGAGAGUGCUUUGGAAACUGUAGAACUUGAGUGCUGGAGAGGCAAGGGGAAUUCCACGUGUAGCGGUGAAAUGCGUAGAUAUGUGGAGGAAUACCAGUGGCGAAGGCGCCUUGCUGGACAGUUACUGACGCUGAGGCACGAAAGCGUGGGGAGCAAACAGG
Molecule: ribosomal RNA, 253 nt
Filed under: uncultured bacterium
Lineage: Bacteria
Description: partial 16S ribosomal RNA
Rfam family: Bacterial small subunit ribosomal RNA
Source: RNAcentral